Molecule: transfer RNA, 69 nt
Filed under: Marmota monax (woodchuck)
Lineage: Eukaryota; Metazoa; Chordata; Mammalia; Rodentia; Sciuridae
Rfam family: tRNA
About the family: Transfer RNA (tRNA) molecules are approximately 80 nucleotides in length. Their secondary structure includes four short double-helical elements and three loops (D, anti-codon, and T loops).
Source: Rfam by way of RNAcentral
GGUUUUGUGGCUCAGUGGUAGAGCUCUCUCCUAACAUGCGAGGGGCUCUGGGUUCAAUCCUCAGCACCA